This 324-nucleotide ribosomal RNA is filed under the name uncultured bacterium. RNAcentral describes it as "bacterial SSU rRNA". It matches the Rfam family "Bacterial small subunit ribosomal RNA", at positions 28 to 334 of the family's 1533-position model. The record is from RNAcentral.
GACGAACGCUGGCGGCGUGCUUAACACAUGCAAGUCGAACGGAGUACCCUCGAAAGAGAUUUCGGUCAAUGGAGAGGACUACUUAGUGGCGGACGGGUGAGUAACGCGUGAGGAACCUGCCUUUCAGAGGGGGACAACAGUUGGAAACGACUGCUAAUACCGCAUAACGUACGGGUAUCGCAUGGUACUGGUACCAAAGAUUUAUCGCUGAGAGAUGGCCUCGCGUCUGAUUAGCUAGUUGGUAGGGUAACGGCCUACCAAGGCGACGAUCAGUAGCCGGACUGAGAGGUUGGCCGGCCACAUUGGGACUGAGAUACGGCCCAG